UACUGAGGGGGCAAGCGUUGUUCGGAAUUACUGGGCGUAAAGGGCGCGUAGGUGGCCUUCUAAGUUGAACGUGAAAUCCCUGGGCUCAACCCAGGAACUGCGUCCAAGACUGGGAGGCUUGAAUCCGGGAGAGGGAUGCGGAAUUCCAGGUGUAGCGGUGAAAUGCGUAGAUAUCUGGAGGAACACCGGUGGCGAAGGCGGCAUCCUGGACCGGUAUUGACACUGAGGCGCGAAAGCCAGGGGAGCAAACGGG
Molecule: ribosomal RNA, 253 nt
Filed under: uncultured bacterium
Lineage: Bacteria
Description: partial 16S ribosomal RNA
Rfam family: Bacterial small subunit ribosomal RNA
Source: RNAcentral